GUAGGUGGCAAGCGUUGUCCGGAAUUAUUGGGCGUAAAGCGCGCGCAGGCGGUUCUUUAAGUCUGAUGUGAAAGCCCACGGCUCAACCGUGGAGGGUCAUUGGAAACUGGAGAACUUGAGUACAGAAAGAGGAAAGCGGAAUUCCACGUGUAGCGGUGAAAUGCGUAGAGAUGUGGAGGAACACCAGUGGCGAAGGCGGCUUUCUGGUCUGUAACUGACGCUGAGGCGCGAAAGCGUGGGGGAGCAAACAGGAUUAGAUACCUGGUAGUCCACGCCGUAAACGAUGAGUGCUAAGUGUUAGGGGGUUUCCGCCCCUUAGUGCUGCAGCUAACGCAUUAAGCACUCCGCCUGGGAGUACGCGCAGGCUG
Molecule: ribosomal RNA, 368 nt
Filed under: uncultured organism
Description: partial 16S ribosomal RNA
Rfam family: Bacterial small subunit ribosomal RNA
Source: RNAcentral